GUACACUCCUGCGGGAGGCAGCAGUGGGGAAUAUUGGACAAUGGGCGCAAGCCUGAUCCAGCCAUGCCGCGUGAGUGAUGAAGGCCCUAGGGUUGUAAAGCUCUUUCACCGGAGAAGAUAAUGACGGUAUCCGGAGAAGAAGCCCCGGCUAACUUCGUGCCAGCAGCCGCGGUAAUACGAAGGGGGCUAGCGUUGUUCGGAAUUACUGGGCGUAAAGCGCACGUAGGCGGAUCGAUCAGUCAGGGGUGAAAUCCCAGGGCUCAACCCUGGAACUGCCUUUGAUACUGUCGAUCUGGAGUAUGGAAGAGGUGAGUGGAAUUCCGAGUGUAGAGGUGAAAUUCGUAGAUAUUCGGAGGAACACCAGUGGCGAAGGCGGCUCACUGGUCCAUUACUGACGCUGAGGUGCGAAAGCGUGGGGAGCAAACAGGAUUAGAAACCCGAGUAGUCCCA
This 450-nucleotide ribosomal RNA is filed under the name uncultured organism. RNAcentral describes it as "partial 16S ribosomal RNA". It matches the Rfam family "Bacterial small subunit ribosomal RNA", at positions 331 to 797 of the family's 1533-position model. The record is from RNAcentral.